Molecule: long non-coding RNA, 538 nt
Filed under: Parus major (Great Tit)
Lineage: Eukaryota; Metazoa; Chordata; Aves; Passeriformes; Paridae
Description: lncRNA (ENSPMJG00000004490.1)
Source: RNAcentral
CAGAUGUGUUUUUGAUGUCCCCAUGUCCCCCCAGCUGUCCCCAGCUGUCCCCAGGUGUCCCCAGAUGUCCCCAGCUGUCCCCAGAGGUGUCCCCAGAUGUCCCCAGAGAUGUCCCCAGCUGUCCCCUCACCUCUUUGCUGUCACAGGGGGGUCUCUCUGGCGCCUGCAGCUGGAACAGGAAGUUCUGCUCCUCCAGGGCGCUGAGGGGACACGGCCACCCCGCGUGGCCACCGGGGACGCGGCAGAAGGCGCCCACGGGGACCUCCCCGGAGUGGUGGCUGCAGGGGACAUCAUUGGGGACAUCACUGGGGACAUCCCUGGGGACAUCCCUGGGGACAUCCCUGGGGACAUCCCUGGGGACGGCCUUGGGGACGUCGGGGACCAGGGGAACAUGGGGGAAAAGGGUUCUUGUGGUGUCCCCAUGGUGUCCCCAAGGUGUCCCCAAGGUGUCCCCAAGGUUCUCGUGGUGUCCCCAAGGUUCUCAAGGUGUCCCCAAGGUGUCCCCAUGGUGUCCCCAAGGUUCUUGUGGUGUCCCCAA